CAUGGAGUUUGAUCCUGGCUCAGAUUGAACGCUGGCGGAAUGCUUUACACAUGCAAGUCGAACGGUAGAGGGGGCAACCCCUUGAGAGUGGCGAACGGGUGAGUAAUAUAUCGGAACGUGCCCAGUCGUGGGGGAUAACGUAGUGAAAAUUACGCUAAUACCGCAUACGAUCUACGGAUGAAAGCGGGGACUCGCAAGAGCCUCGCGCGAUUGGAGCGGCCGAUAUCAGAUUAGGUAGUUGGUGAGGUAAAGGCUCACCAAGCCAACGAUCUGUAGCUGGUCUGAGAGGACGACCAGCCACACUGGAACUGAGACACGGUCCAGACUCGUACGGGAGCAGCAGUGGGGUAAUUUGGACAAGUGGGCGCAAGCCUGAUCCCGAGCAAUCGCCGCGUGCAGGAU
RNAcentral lists this ribosomal RNA (402 nucleotides) under uncultured Limnohabitans sp. RNAcentral's name for it is "bacterial SSU rRNA". It matches the Rfam family "Bacterial small subunit ribosomal RNA", at positions 1 to 409 of the family's 1533-position model. The record is from RNAcentral. Lineage: Bacteria; Pseudomonadati; Pseudomonadota; Betaproteobacteria; Burkholderiales; Comamonadaceae.